AGGUGCUGCAUGGUUGUCGUCAGCUCGUGCCGUGAGGUGUCGGCUUAAGUGCCAUAACGAGCGCAACCCUUAUCUUUAGUUACUAACAGGUUAUGCUGAGGACUCUAGAGAGACUGCCGUCGUAAGAUGUGAGGAAGGUGGGGAUGACGUCAAAUCAGCACGGCCCUUACGUCCGGGGCUACACACGUGUUACAAUGGGGGGUACAGAAGGCAGCUACACGGCGACGUGAUGCUAAUCCCAAAAACCUCUCUCAGUUCGGAUCGAAGUCUGCAACCCGACUUCGUGAAGCUGGAUUCGCUAGUAAUCGCGCAUCAGCCAUGGCGCGGUGAAUACGUUCCCGGGCCUUGUACACACCGCCCGUCAAGCCAUGAAAGCCGGGGGUACCUGAAGUACGUAACCGCAAGGAGCGUCCUAGGGUAAAACUGGUAAUUGGGGCUAAGUCGUAACAAGGUAGCCGUACCGGAAGGUGCGGCUGGAACACCUCCUUU
Molecule: ribosomal RNA, 489 nt
Filed under: Bacteroides ovatus
Lineage: Bacteria; Pseudomonadati; Bacteroidota; Bacteroidia; Bacteroidales; Bacteroidaceae
Description: bacterial SSU rRNA
Rfam family: Bacterial small subunit ribosomal RNA
Source: RNAcentral